Aedes albopictus (Asian tiger mosquito) is the source of this 837-nucleotide long non-coding RNA. RefSeq lists it as uncharacterized. NCBI's taxonomy places the organism in Eukaryota, Metazoa, Arthropoda, Insecta, Diptera, Culicidae. The transcript has 2 exons. The record is from RefSeq and is a predicted model, not a curated record.
CAUUGAGCAAUACGGUGUUUUUCGUCCUAGUCAUCAGAACGUUGAGAGAAGGUUCACCAAGUCCUCCGAAGUUGUUUGGUGACACACAAUACAUCUGCUUUAAAAUUAGAUCAGUUUGCUUUGUAGUUAUUCGUCCUAGUCAUCAGAACGUCGAGAGAAGGUUCACCAAGUCCUCCGAAGUUGUUUGGUGACACACAAUACAUCUGGUUUAAGAUUAGAUCAGUUUGCUUUAUAGUUAUUCAUCAGUACAUGUCGAGAAAUAGGUUCACUAAGUCCUCCGAAGUUGUUUGGUGACACACAAUACAUCUGCUUUAAAAUUAGAUCAGUUUGCUUUGUAGUUAUUCGUCCUAGUCAUCAGAACGUCGAGAGAAGGUUCACCAAGUCCUCCGAAGUUGUUUGGUGACACACAAUACAUCUGGUUUAAGAUUAGAUCAGUUUGCUUUAUAGUUAUUCAUCAGUACAUGUCGAGAAAUAGGUUCACCAAGUCCUCCGAAGUUGUUUGGUGACACACAAUACAUCUGCUUUAAAAUUAGAUCAGUUUGCUUUGUAGUUAUUCGUCCUAGUCAUCAGAACGUCGAGAGAAGGUUCACCAAGUCCUCCGAAGUUGUUUGGUGACACACAAUACAUCUGAUUUAAAAUUAGAUCAGUUGGCUUUGUAGUUAUUUGUCCUAGUCAUCAGUACAUGUCGAGAAAAAGGUUCACCAAGUCUUCCGAAGUUGUUUGGUGACACACAAUACAUCUGCUUUAAAAUUAGAUCAGUUUGCUUUGUAGUUAUUCGUCCUAUUCAUCAAUACAUGUCGAGAAAAAGGUUCACCAAGUCCUCUGAAGUUGUUUGGU